This is a long non-coding RNA of Scylla paramamosain (green mud crab), 1541 nucleotides long. RefSeq lists it as uncharacterized. The record is from RefSeq and is a predicted model, not a curated record. Lineage: Eukaryota; Metazoa; Arthropoda; Malacostraca; Decapoda; Portunidae. The transcript has 2 exons.
UACUUUUUUCUCCUGACUCCCAGUUGUUUACUCUAUCCGUCCAUGUAUAGUACACAAACCUACCAAUACUCUAUUCGACGUAGGACGCCGGUGGACGUGGUUAAAGGCCCACCGUCCUUCACCUCGACUGCUUGAAACGGCUCAUGAGAAGAGAGGUUCAGUACCAACGUAAAUACAGAGACAACACACAUGUAUCACUUCGGGCACUAUGCUAAAAAGGCUGAUGUGUUUAGCCAUGUGCAGCGAAGUACGUAUAAAUGAGGAUGCUAGAAAUGGACCCACCACGUUAGAAGAAAAGAGAAAGUAUGGAGAAGGCUUAUGGAUGCACUGAAGACAAGGUGAUGGUUGUAAUGGAAGACACAGGAGACAAUAAAGUGGAGAUGAGAUGGCUAUUUAAGUGCGCUACGACGACGCUCAGCAGGGGCACCUGAAGUAGAGUAUUUGCGCUGAAAGGAAAGAAAAACAAACUUAUGCAGGAAUAAAAUGUAAUUUCACCUCAGCAGGAAUACAGAACAUGGAAGAGCCGGGCAGAGUAGCACAUAACACAGCAGUACCACACCUUGGAAGAUCCUCGACUGAGACGCAGCGCUCAUGAGGUUUUUCAUUCCCUCCCUGACGCUCAGCUCAUGACCCGCACCGCAGAACAGACACGUGGUUAUUUUCAUGAGAUCUAGCGAUAUAUGGUAGUUUCGAGAAUUAUUAACGAUCCUAAACAGCAGCAGUGAGGCCAUUCAUCUGUUAAACUGAUCCACAAGCAUUGGUAUAUUUUGAUUAACACACAGGUACAGUACGCUUUCACAUAAGCACGUGAAGAACUUUAAAUAAUAUCACAGAAUUGCGUCAGGAAGUUUCUUUAAAGCAAGAUCAAAUAACAGAUGUUUGGUUGUGCUGCUGAGGUACCGAAGUGAUGAAGUUUGAUAAAGUUACUGAGGAACGGAAAAAAAAAAAAAAAACGAGAAAGAACAGGCGGCCCAUCAUUGUGAAAUAGUCUGUCAUCAACUUCACCAGCACAGAAGUUAUCGGUAGGAAACUGGUAAGGGCGUAAUACUGAGCUGUAUAAGUGUAACAGAAGUGAUGGUGACAGCAGCAGCAGUAGUAGUAGUAGUAGGAACUGCAGAAAUAGUUGUUGUAACAUAAGUAGUACUCAGAGCAGUAAUAGUAAUAGCAGCAGCAAUAGCAAUAGCAGUAGUAGUAGUAGUAGUAGUAGUAGUAGGUUAAUAAGAGGAAGCAUGGUGGUGGUGGUAUUAGUAGUAGUAGUAGUAGUAGUAGUAGUAGUAGUAGUAGUAGUAGUAGUAGUAGUAGUAGUAGUAGGUUAAUAAGAGAAAGCAGCAUCAUAGUAUUGGUGGUAAGAAAAAAUAGUAGUAGUAGUAGUAGUAGUAGUAGUAGUAGUAGUAGUAGUAGUAGUAGUAGUAGUAGUAGUAGUAGUAGUAGUAGGUUAAUAAGAGAAAGCAGAAUCAUAGUAUUGGUGGUAAGAAAAAAUAGUAGUAGUAGUAGUAGUAGUAGUAGUAGUAGUAGUAGUAGUAGUAGUAGUAGUAGUAGUA